CUCAGCACUGAAGAUCCCGGUCCUUCCGGCGGUGACGCCUUUACAAUUGGUUUACCACCGGCCUGGGUGGAUGAUACUGAAGAAAUAGCUGCCAAUAUUCAGAUUGUCCGAACCAAAAUGGCUGAGUUAGUCAAGGUUCAUGCGAAAGCUUUAAUGCCUUCCUUUGGAGAUGGCAAAGAUGAUCAGCGAAGGAUUGAGGCC
This 201-nucleotide unclassified non-coding RNA is filed under the name Hevea brasiliensis (rubber tree). Lineage: Eukaryota; Viridiplantae; Streptophyta; Magnoliopsida; Malpighiales; Euphorbiaceae. The record is from RNAcentral.